AACAAGGCGUACCUGCGGACCUGCGGAAGGAUCAUUACAAGUGACCCCGGUCUAACCACCGGGAUGUUCAUAACCCUUUGUUGUCCGACUCUGUUGCCUCCGGGGCGACCCUGCCUUCGGGCGGGGGCUCCGGGUGGACACUUCAAACUCUUGCGUAACUUUGCAGUCUGAGUAAACUUAAUUAAUAAAUUAAAACUUUUAACAACGGAUCU
Molecule: unclassified non-coding RNA, 212 nt
Filed under: soil metagenome
Description: partial contains 5.8S ribosomal RNA, internal transcribed spacer 2, and large subunit ribosomal RNA
Source: RNAcentral